Molecule: ribosomal RNA, 253 nt
Filed under: uncultured bacterium
Lineage: Bacteria
Description: partial 16S ribosomal RNA
Rfam family: Bacterial small subunit ribosomal RNA
Source: RNAcentral
UACAGAGGUCUCAAGCGUUGUUCGGAUUCAUUGGGCGUAAAGGGUGUGUAGGUGGCGCGCUAAGUCGGGUGUGAAAUCUCGGAGCUUAACUUCGAAACUGCAUUCGAUACUGCCGUGCUUGAGGACUGGAGAGGAGACUGGAAUUUACGGUGUAGCGGUGAAAUGCGUAGAUAUCGUAAGGAAGACCAGUGGCGAAGGCGGGUCUCUGGACAGUUCCUGACACUGAGACACGAAGGCCAGGGGAGCAAACGGG